Molecule: ribosomal RNA, 247 nt
Filed under: uncultured Alphaproteobacteria bacterium
Lineage: Bacteria; Pseudomonadati; Pseudomonadota; Alphaproteobacteria
Description: partial 16S ribosomal RNA
Rfam family: Bacterial small subunit ribosomal RNA
Source: RNAcentral
GAACGAACGCUGGCGGCAGGCCUAACACAUGCAAGUCGAGCGAUCCCUUCGGGGAUAGCGGCGGACGGGUUAGUAACGCGUGGGAAUAUGCCCAAAGGUACGGAAUAGCCUCUGGAAACGGAGAUUAAUACCGUAUGUGCCCUUCGGGGGAAAAGAUUUAUCGCCUUUGGAUUAGCCCGCGUUGGAUUAGGUAGUUGGUGGGGUAAUGGCCUACCAGCCUACGAUCCAUAGCUGGUUUUGAGAGGAU